This 497-nucleotide ribosomal RNA is filed under the name uncultured bacterium. Its description in RNAcentral is "partial 16S ribosomal RNA". It matches the Rfam family "Bacterial small subunit ribosomal RNA", at positions 28 to 507 of the family's 1533-position model. The record is from RNAcentral.
GACGAACGCUGGCGGCGUGCCUAAUACAUGCAAGUAGAACGCUGAAGAGAGGAGCUUGCUCUUCUUGGAUGAGUUGCGAACGGGUGAGUAACGCGUAGGUAACCUGCCUUGUAGCGGGGGAUAACUAUUGGAAACGAUAGCUAAUACCGCAUAACAAUGGAUGACACAUGUCAUUUAUUUGAAAGGGGCAAUUGCUCCACUACAAGAUGGACCUGCGUUGUAUUAGCUAGUAGGUGAGGUAAUGGCUCACCUAGGCGACGAUACAUAGCCGACCUGAGAGGGUGAUCGGCCACACUGGGACUGAGACACGGCCCAGACUCCUACGGGAGGCAGCAGGAGGGAAUCUUCGGCAAUGGGGGCAACCCUGACCGAGCAACGCCGCGGGAGUGAAGAAGGUUGUCGGAUCGUAAAGCUCUGUUGUAAGUCAAGAACGGGUGUGAGAGUGGAAAGUUCACACUGUGACGGUAGCUUACCAGAAAGGGACGGCUAACUACGUG